RNAcentral lists this ribosomal RNA (503 nucleotides) under uncultured bacterium. RNAcentral's name for it is "partial 16S ribosomal RNA". It matches the Rfam family "Bacterial small subunit ribosomal RNA", at positions 30 to 523 of the family's 1533-position model. The record is from RNAcentral.
AUUGAACGCUGGCGGCAGGCUUAACACAUGCAAGUCGAGCGGAGUGAUGGUGCUUGCACUAUCACUUAGCGGCGGACGGGUGAGUAAUGCUUAGGAAUCUGCCUAUUAGUGGGGGACAACAUCUCGAAAGGGAUGCUAAUACCGCAUACGUCCUACGGGAGAAAGCAGGGGAUCACUUGUGACCUGUCGCUAAUAGAUGAGCCUAAGUCGGAUUAGCUAGUUGGUGGGGUAAAGGCCUACCAAGGCGACGAUCUGUAGCGGGUCUGAGAGGAUGAUCCGCCACACUGGGACUGAGACAUGGCCCAGACUCCUACGGGAGGCAGCAGUGGGGAAUAUUGGACAAUGGGGGGAACCCUGAUCCAGCCAUGCCGCGUGUGUGAAGAAGGCCUUAUGGUUGUAAAGCACUUUAAGCGAGGAGGAGGCUCUUUUGGUUAAUACCCAAGAUGAGUGGACGUUACUCGCAGAAUAAGCACCGGCUAACUCUGUGCCAGCAGCCGCAGUAA